UUUUCAGGUCAGCGAAACGCAAGUUAUCGAUGUUAUCAAGCAAGGAGCAGGGGAACAUCCAGCAACACCUGCUAUAAGCACAUUGGAGAAACGCAUUGAGGAGCUCGGCCACCGAUUUGUGAUCGAGCGUGCCGUGGCUGAAGGAGCCAAACGUGCCAUCAAGGCAUUAGAUCAUGGAAAGCCACUUGCUGAGGCUCAAUCAAUAUUAAACCAGGCAAAUGAAAAGCUGGACCU
Long non-coding RNA from Pelobates fuscus (common spadefoot toad), 234 nucleotides. RefSeq lists it as uncharacterized. Lineage: Eukaryota; Metazoa; Chordata; Amphibia; Anura; Pelobatidae. The transcript has 3 exons. The record is from RefSeq and is a predicted model, not a curated record.